Molecule: ribosomal RNA, 497 nt
Filed under: uncultured bacterium
Lineage: Bacteria
Description: partial 16S ribosomal RNA
Rfam family: Bacterial small subunit ribosomal RNA
Source: RNAcentral
GAUGAACGCUGGCGGCGUGCCUAAUACAUGCAAGUCGAGCGAACAGAUGAGGAGCUUGCUCCUCUGACGUUAGCGGCGGACGGGUGAGUAACACGUGGAUAACCUACCUAUAAGACUGGGAUAACUUCGGGAAACCGGCGCUAAUACCGGAUAAUAUAUUGAACCGCAUGGUUCAAUAGUGAAAGACGGUUUUGCUGUCACUUAUAGAUGGAUCCGCGCCGCAUUAGCUAGUUGGUAAGGUAACGGCUUAUCAAGGCUACGAUGCGUAGCCGACGUGAGAGGGUGAUCGGCCACACUGGAACUGAGACACGGUCCAGACUCCUACGGGAGGCAGCAGUAGGGAAUCUUCCGCAAUGGGCGAAAGCCUGACGGAGCAGCGCCGCGUGAGUGAUGAAGGUCUUCGGAUCGUAAAACUCUGUUAUUAGGGAAGAACAAAUGUGUAAGUAACUAUGCACGUCUUGACGGUACCUAAUCAGAAAGCCACGGCUAACUACGUG